CUUCAUAACUGCGGCAGCAACGCUUAUGCGUUGUUGGGGCGGGGAGCGCACAGUACGCCUGCGAAGGGGUGCUGUGAGGCAUGCUGGAGGUAUCAGAAGUGCGAAUGCUGACAUAAGUAACGAUAAAGCGGGUGAAAAGCCCGCUCGCCGGAAGACCAAGGGUUCCUGUCCAACGUUAAUCGGGGCUGGGUGAGUCGACCCCUAAGGCGAGGCCGAGAGGCGUAGUCGAUGGGAAAUUGGUUAAUAUUCCAAUACUUCUAUGUAAUGCGAUGAGAGGACGGAGAAGGUUAAGUCAGCCUGGCGUUGGUUGUCCAGGUGGAAGGUUGUAGGCAUGUAUCUUAGGCAAAUCCGGGGUACUCUAUGCUGAGAACUGAUAGCAAGCUGUACUUGUACAGUGAAGUGGCUGAUACCAUGCUUCCAGGAAAAGUCUCUAAGCUUCAGUUACAUAGGAAUCGUACCCGAAACCGACACAGGUGGUCAGGUCGAGUAGACCAAAGCGCUUGAGAGAACUCUGCUGAAGGAACUAGGCAAAAUGGUACCGUAACUUCGGGAGAAGGUACGCUGCCGACGGUGAUAGGAUUUACUCCUUGAGCUAUUGGCAGCCACAGAAACCAGGCCCCUGCAACUGUUUAUUAAAAACAU
Molecule: ribosomal RNA, 642 nt
Filed under: Enterococcus faecalis
Lineage: Bacteria; Bacillati; Bacillota; Bacilli; Lactobacillales; Enterococcaceae
Description: partial 23S ribosomal RNA
Rfam family: Bacterial large subunit ribosomal RNA
Source: RNAcentral